Long non-coding RNA from Myiozetetes cayanensis, 1771 nucleotides. RefSeq lists it as uncharacterized. Lineage: Eukaryota; Metazoa; Chordata; Aves; Passeriformes; Tyrannidae. The transcript has 3 exons. The record is from RefSeq and is a predicted model, not a curated record.
GUCCUGUGUGCUGUGGGGAACUGGGAGCUGGCUCUGUGACUGACAGUGCUGCCCUGGUGCAGCUCGGUCAAUGGCCUGCACAGCUGAGGCCUUCCUUAGCCAAAUGUUGCUGGAAUGUGAUCCCUGCUGGUUAAUCCAUCAGCAGGGCUGCAUUUGCUACUCCUUCAACAGCUGAGCAGUUGGGCCAGCUGCUUGGGUAGGGGCAAUACCACACCAUGGAGGAUCUGAGCCAUUCCAGGCUUUUAAUGGAAAGGCUGACAGGCUGCAAGGCUGUUGCCUUCAUAUCAGCAACAUUGUCCUGAUCUGUACUGCAGUAGCUGCCCAGAGCUGGGCAUCCCCAUGGGAGAUGGCAGGAGCCUGGCUGUGUUGCAGGAUGGGCAUGGAUAAUGGUGUUUUUAAUUUCUGUCCUGCAUCUAUUGCAUUAUUUAUGGGAUAGGAGGUUAGUUUUUAGAGGCUGGGAUGCGUUUACUAGGAAAAGGAUGAAGGAAGUCUUGCUGAUGCUUUGCCUUGUCAAGUAAGUCUUGAAAUUGUUUUAUUUUGCAGGGUAUUUGGAGCGGAGAGCUGGGGAAAAGAGAAUGUUUUUUGUCUUGUUCCCCAAAUCUGCCAUGUUACCUGGCUGCAGGUAGCUAAGUGAAGUGUACAGCACUGAAAAGGUACAAGGCCCUUAUGUAGCUGAGGCACAGGGGAGCUUACAGCUGCUCUCUGCGUGUCUGCUCCUGGCUGCCCUGGUCAGGUGAGGUCUGUGUCUCAGAACUGACAAGAAUAAAGCUAAUCUCAUAUUUUUUGCCCUUAAGCUGGCAGUCCUGAUGGCCACCUAGGCUGGCCCCAAGUGUUCCUGACUGCUGUGCUCAGGGUACAAACAGUGCCCUCAAGGGGGCUACCCCCCCUCCUGGACUUUCCACAAGAAUUAAUUAGGCUUAUCCUGCUUUUUAGCACUGGCAGUUACCACUAAGGAGCCCACAAAACAGGAGAAAGGGUAGGAAGGAAGCAUCCCUUUGCCAGCACUUCCUGCCAGUUGAGUUUUGUUCUCCUGUGUCCCAGAGCUAUAAAUAAUCCUUUUCCUUUAAGUGACACCAAGAAAUCUAGGGUGCCCUGGCUGGCUCCUGGAGUGGUGACAACACUUUCUCUCCUGCUGGAGCGAUUGGCAAAGCCAAAACACUGUGCCCUGCUGCAGUCGGAGGGUCACAGUGAAUGGGAAAGCAGGGAGCAGGAAUCACCACAGCAUGGCCUAAGGACACAGAUUUUGGUGGGUUUGUUUGUUUGUUUGUUUUCGGUGUGUGUGGUUUUUGGUUUUGUUUGUUUGUUUAAAAAUUUAAAUCCUCCAUAGUGUACAGUCACCAUUGUAUUUCCUUACAGCAUCACGGCAAGGGAAAUCGGGCCUCCAAACUCCCUGAGAAGCAGCUGUGAGGCUUUGUGUUAUAACAUGGAGAUUUAGUUGGGCAUGAGGAAAAAUGUCUGCAGUGGAACAGCUGCCCAGGGAAGUGGUGGAGCCACCAUGCCUGCAGGGUUUUCCUCAAGCCACCGAGGGGAGACUGUGCAUUCCUUCUGUGCCAGGCAUCAGCUGUGGCCAGCUGAGGGGGGCUGUCACUCCAUCCUUCAACACUCCACGACUUCCCUGGAGAUGCCUCGGACAAGGCACUUGGCUCAGAGAACCAUCUGCCAGCUACUUGGAUUAAACAGACUGGAGCAGGACUGUGUCCCAGGUCCACCUGGGACAGGUUAGAGUGAGGAAGAGGCUGCUGGAGGUGUUUUACCACCGACCCCCGCGGAG